This 557-nucleotide ribosomal RNA is filed under the name uncultured bacterium. RNAcentral describes it as "bacterial SSU rRNA". It matches the Rfam family "Bacterial small subunit ribosomal RNA", at positions 102 to 694 of the family's 1533-position model. The record is from RNAcentral.
ACGGGUGAGUAACGCGUGGGAAUCUACCCAUCUCUACGGAAUAACGCAUGGAAACGUGUGCUAAUACCGUAUACGUCCUUCGGGAGAAAGAUUUAUCGGAGAUGGAUGAGCCCGCGUUGGAUUAGCUAGUUGGUGGGGUAAAGGCCUACCAAGGCGACGAUCCAUAGCUGGUCUGAGAGGAUGAUCAGCCACACUGGGACUGAGACACGGCCCAGACUCCUACGGGAGGCAGCAGUGGGGAAUAUUGGACAAUGGGCGCAAGCCUGAUCCAGCCAUGCCGCGUGAGUGAUGAAGGCCCUAGGGUUGUAAAGCUCUUUCACCGGUGAAGAUAAUGACGGUAACCGGAGAAGAAGCCCCGGCUAACUUCGUGCCAGCAGCCGCGGUAAUACGAAGGGGGCUAGCGUUGUUCGGAUUUACUGGGCGUAAAGCGCACGCAGGCGGACUAUUAAGUCAGGGGUGAAAUCCCGGGGCUCAACCCCGGAACUGCCUUUGAUACUGGUAGUCUUGAGUUCGAGAGAGGUGAGUGGAAUUCCGAGUGUAGAGGUGAAAUUCGUAGA